Molecule: long non-coding RNA, 511 nt
Organism: Homo sapiens (human)
Lineage: Eukaryota; Metazoa; Chordata; Mammalia; Primates; Hominidae
Source: Ensembl
UGCUUUUAAAAGUCCUUUUAAUACAGCAUGAAGAGGCUAUAUUUCUAUAGGCGAGCCGUAUACAGAUUCUCCAGGAAUAAGGCACACAACGGAAUGCCAUCCCAAGGGCUGCACUUCGGAGACGUCGGAGCCUUCUCCACGCACCUUCCGAGCUGGGCCCACGGGUUCUGUUUUGUCUUUUUAGCUGGACUCACACGUAUGGACAGACACAGACACGGACGGGGUCACCGCAUGGGGGCGGAGGAGGUCGGACGGCAAGGCAAGAAUGGUGUGAUUUUCGUGGUGCCUGCCCUGCCAUGGCCGGGGGCAGCAGGCACACAUGACUUGAGUUGGCAUUCCUGACCUAGAUGAUCCCUAAAGAUCCUUCCAAUGCAAAUAGUUCCAUGAGUAGACAGCACACAGGCUUGAGAAGUGGACAGAGUCCAAGUCCUGGCCACUGCUUCUGCACACCUCUGGGCAUGUAACAGAGGCUAGUUUUUGCCAGGCUUGGGCCACUUGGGUGCUGGGCUUU